GCCUGACCGCUGGAUUGCCUCGCUCCAGGAGGGCGCGGCUGCCUCCCCCGACGCUGGGGAAAUCAGUGCUCUCGACAGGGAUAGGGGUCUGCCUGCCAGGAGCCAUUCGGGGCCCACGGGGGAGCCGCCUGGCCCUCGUUAGGCAAGGUCCCUGGGAAAGCUGCCCCCCACAGGAGAGCGUGUUCCCGCCCGCGCGCUGGACGUGCCGGGGAGCACAGAGAGGCUCUUCCCGCUCGCAGCACAGAUGGAAACGCUCUCGCUCUGCGGCCUGGGCUGGGAGGCAGGGGAGGGCCCCAGAGCCCUGCCAGCCCGCAAAGCUGGGAGGAUUUUCCUCUCAAAAACGAUACCGCUGAUUAAACUGAAAACUUCUAAGGUCACGGAGGACGUUUAUCCGGGCUGGGGCGGGGAAUGGGAGGGCUGGAGGCGUCACCUGAUGUUAUAAGCUACUAAAAGGCAGCGGACUCUGGCCGGGAGGCAGGCGCUUCAUUGCAGCUUAGGGAUGAAUACAUAAACCUGGGCGGCUAUUUUUACACUGGCUGAAACAGAGAGCGUGUGUGUGGCAGGGGAGAGGACGCAAGCAGCCCUCCCCCAUUCAUCCCCUGAUCUUCCCCUUCCAUCUGGAGAGUUACUCCUCAGAACCGAAGCAUUUUUAUUUUUAUUUUUUGAAAUCAGGGAAGGGAAAAGGAAUGCAGAUCAAAACGUUUCCUAAAUGGUAAAAAUAAAUGAGAUAGCAGCAUUCUGAAUUCUCACGCCUUGGUACUCUCAGUCCUUCCUCCCCUUGUGUGCAGUCUUUUGAAGUCCAAGGUUGUCGGUCUGAGUUUGUCUUUUCCUGCUCAGGAAACAUGGAAUGGCUUCUGCAAGGUUUGGGCCUGCAGAGAGCUGGAGGAGACAGAGAAAAGAGGAGACUUUUUGCCAAAAAUGCAUUCUCGAUCCCGGCGUGUGCCUGUGCACUGUUGAGUGUGACUUUGUUCUGUUAGGACUUAAAAGAAAGCUCUGCUUCUUUAAAUAGGAAUUUUCAGACCAUGAUAAGCACUGAGAAAGCAGAAGAUUGUCCAGGAAGGGUGAUUGCUUUGAAUUUUCACCUGAUUUAGACCCACUGAAGCCAUUGCCUGUGCUUUCUUGUCAGAAUAAAUUUGGAGCUGAACUCACCAUACCCAAGAGGGAGGCGUGCUCGGGGUAGGGCUGUGAGCUGUAUGGGGAAUUCUUGCUGACAUCAAAUCGUUUCAGAUCACUCAAUUUACUUUGAUUUCGUUCAACGUCAUUUCAUUUUCUUUCCAAGUCCUCUAAGAAGUCUGGAAAAGGAGACACUGAAAAUAAUUGCAAAACUUAAGGCAUGAAAUGAAAUAUCUCCUAAAAUUAAAGUAAGGUUGUAGAGGUUCACCAUCUUAAGGAUUUGUAUAGAUGACCUUUUAGCAAUUUUUCAUUUGAGAAUUAUGGAACUACAAACACACACACACACACACACCAAAACCCCGCAAAAAGGAAACUUCAUUAGGAAGGGAAGGUUACCUGCAAAGCUCUUCAUUCAAUGUGUCAUUUCUAAGAUUCACUAGAUUGGAAUGAGGAUAUAGAGUGGGAAUGUGUGGGGUGGGCAAGAAGCAGGG
Molecule: long non-coding RNA, 1604 nt
Filed under: Homo sapiens (human)
Lineage: Eukaryota; Metazoa; Chordata; Mammalia; Primates; Hominidae
Description: HSALNT0315612
Source: RNAcentral